This is a long non-coding RNA of Lolium rigidum, 792 nucleotides long. RefSeq lists it as uncharacterized. Lineage: Eukaryota; Viridiplantae; Streptophyta; Magnoliopsida; Poales; Poaceae. The transcript has 3 exons. The record is from RefSeq and is a predicted model, not a curated record.
CAUACACAUACAAACUCUGUCAUCUACACUUAGUCUAUGAAGUAUGCCUAUUCUAAGAUGGAAUCGAGGGCGCCGGUGGCCGGAAUCUAUCCGCCGCUGGAUGGAAUUGUGCCUCGUGCACUUGGGUUUGACCCUCCCCGAUGCGUGGAGUCGCCAACAGCAAGGCAGCCAAUCUUCGGUUGGUGGUGCAGGAAACAACGUUGAUGAUGAGGCUGAUGCUAGUGCUAUCAAUGCAAUGAUGAUCAUUCAUAAGCAUUCUGGAAUUGAUAAUCAUCCAAUGCAAAGUAUCCUCUAUGGUGUUAUCAAUGCCAGUACCAUAACUCCAUAUGCAUUCUGGAAUUGAUGAACGGUGAUCAUUUAGCCAUGGUGGGCAUGGAAAGUCACAGUGGUUACUAUGUUAUUGCCAGUAUAACAGAUUUACCCUUGGCCUUGCCAUUGGGAGUUGUUUUUUCUUUCAAGAUUACAAGCUCAUGAUUCAUGAAGUCUGAGCUGCCAGCUCUGAAGACCAAGCGAAGUAAAUUUGGAACUUCCUAUGGAGGUGCCACCAUGCUAGGAUUAAAAUGUUUGAAUUUGUAUGGUGUUUCUAACUAAGAAGUUCAAUAUUUUGGUAUGUUUGGCAUGUGGAAAGGUGUUGAAGCAACAUACAUUUUUAGCUAGAAACUCACAAUGUGUUCCUCUUUAGCUAGAGUGGUUUGAAAUUUUAGAUGGUUUCUCAUUCUGCUAUAGUUAGAACAGGUUGCUAGAGCAAUAUGUAAGAAAAAAAAAUUCGUGGUAUGAGUUGUGAAGUUAUCA